AAACAGGCUCUUUUAAGAGUCACCCAUAUUGGAAAAUAUAGAACA
Non-coding RNA from Salmo salar (Atlantic salmon), 45 nucleotides. NCBI's taxonomy places the organism in Eukaryota, Metazoa, Chordata, Actinopteri, Salmoniformes, Salmonidae. The record is from Rfam.